CUAGCUAAUAAUACAGACAACUCGGGGUAGCCUGAAUCUAAUAAACUCUGGCAGAGUAUUUAACCAAUAUAUUGUAGUUGGACUAAGGGAGACUGUAAAUCCUUUAGUCUGAGGCUCAAUGCAAUCAUGCUUACUGUGGUUCUGUGAAUUUGCCUGCUGCCCUGGGAGAGUGAUAAUCAGUAUUGCCCAGACCUAUCCAUCUAACAUUAAAUCCACCUAUUUGACCAGUCAUGCUAAGGCCAUAUCAGUCACUGGAAACUGUAUUCUUAGACUGUGUUAUUUCAUUUGCUCUUUUAAAAAAUCAGCAUUUUCUAUUAUGCUAAAUAUCCCAUUGGCUCCACAAAGCAAUGUUUUAUUUCAGGUGGAGGAAAUAUGUCCACCCAGCUCUAGAGGGCAUUCUAAUUAUUUUUUUCCUUUAAAUUUUAGGGGGGGGGGGAAGUCUAUUGUUUUAUUAUAACCAAUUAUUCAGCCCCCUCUUGUAGGAGAAUCAUAAAUCUCUUAUGUGUUGCCAUGUGAACUUCAGGGACUUCCCUUGGAGGAACGACUUCCCUGGCUCAGUGAUACCACUCUGCCUGUGUGACUUGCUUUCAUCAGUGGAAUGUGAGCGAAGUAACACAUACCAUGUCUGAAGUUUUGAGUCAUGUACGAUUCAACUGUCUUCAUUUUCUUCUGCAAUGAGAAAGAUAUGUAGCAAGGAAAGGCUGCUUCUUCUCCUUAGGUUCUGGGAUGAAGAAUGUAUGUGGAGCAGGGUCACAGUUAAUGUGCAUCUACCACAACCUAAAUAUAAAAUAAACAGGAAAUAAACAUUUACAAACUUUUGUUGCUGGAUUUCAGAAGCUGUUGGUUAUUGCAGCAUAAUGUGGUAAAUACUAUCUUAUAUAUCUGUAAGGAUUCUGAACAUAGUGGGAAAAAAAAUCAUCUCAGGAACUUACAAUAGCCCAAAUCCUCCCCAAGCCAAAUUUCUUUUUCUUUUUAUUACAAACAUACAAGACAUUUCAUGGAGCUUGCUCCUUUAAAAUCUAGUAUUUAUGACACACAAACUGAGACUUUAUUUUUAUAUAUACCUUUUCUGUGUCGUAUUUCAUGCCAGGUGCUUAUAAAUAUAUUCCAAGUCUUCAAAAUAAGAGUAUAAUGAGAAAUUAUCCUUGGACUCUGAGAAGGAAAUCGGGGCUCAGAGGUUCACAUUAUAUAGGCCACAAAGACACAGUAUUUCAACCAAUGCCAUAGCCCCUAUCCAUGCACAUUUUUAAAAAUCACUUCUUAAUCAUCCUUCAAAUUAAAUGAUGUUUUUGAAAAAGCAGUUAGAAUCGGUUAGAGAGAGAUGUGAUUCAACAGAGAAGACGUAGUUACUCAACCAAAGUCCUCCCAUGUCUUCCCCAGAGCUCCACUUGAGGGAUAAAUUGAUCCUUAAUGGUUUUUCUGGGACAGCCUCCUGGUAGUGUACUACUCUUCUCUACUUACCUUAGACAUUGAAUAUUUUCUAUGUUCCAGUGUAACUAUGCAGAUUUUAAGAACAUGAAUUAGAUAACUACAGACAAAAAUUUUAGCAGGAUGGGAUUUCCAUUUAAUAUUUUCAUUUCUGUUGCUUCUACUAACAAAAGUACUCAUAUUUUUUGGUAGAUAAAUUGAAAAAUGCAUAAAACCUUUAAAAAUAAAAUGAAAACAUGCCAUGAUCCAUUUUUCCAAAUGUCACUUAUAUAUCAACUAAAAACUGACAUACACUUGGGGCGCCUGGGUGACUCAGUCAGUUGAGCAUCCGACCCUUAAUUUCAGCUCAGGUUAUGAUCCCAGGAUUGUGGGAUUGAGCCCUGCAUCAGGCUCUGUGCUGAGCAUGGAGCCUGCUUAGAUUGAUAUUCUCUAUCUCUAUCUCUCCCCUCACCCCUCUCCCCCACUCGUGCUCUCUCUCCCUAAAAUAAAACAUAAAAAAACCUUUUUGACAUACACCUAACAGUGAUGCUACAGGUUUAAAUUGACAGAUUCAUUUACUAAGUCAUUUAUUUAGCAGCUGCUAUGUACUUGACUGAGCCUUUGGAUAUAGUGAACCCCAUAGAUAAGGAUCUACCCUUAUAUCACUUACAUUCUAUAUGGAAGACAGACAGUGAACUGUUUUUUUUUUAAAAAAGGACAAUCAAAACUGUUAAAUACUGGGAUAUAGGCUAUAAAGAAAGUCAUCAAGGCUAAGAAGAUGGAGAUGCCUACUUUGGGUAAAGUGGACAGUUGGAGAAGUAAUAAUUAAGUUGUAACUUAAAGGAUGAAGGUAAGCCAGCCAGGCAAAGAACUAGGAAAAAAUUACCUUAGAGAGAAGAGUGAGGAAAAAGUGUGGAGCCAGGAAAGGACAGGAUCAGAAAGAAGGCCAGUGUGCUGAAUGAACAAGGGUGAGAUUGAUCAGAGGUGGUGAAGAGAUGGAGGAGAAAGUAGAAUCUGUCUCAGGUAGAACCUUGAAGAAUUCAAUUAGAAGUGUGGAUUAUUUUUCAGAGAAAAGGACAGCCAUCAUAGUGAUUUCAUGACUAAUGAUUUAGCAAGCUCACUUCAGAUUUUGUACAGCAAAAUGCACUGAGAGAAGGGAGAUGUAGACACUUCUAAUUUGCCUAACAUACUGUCAGUAUUGAUGACACAAUUUCUAUACACCUCAGAAACAGUGAAAACAACUCAUUUUCCAAUGACUUAGCUAACAGGAAAGACAGAGAAGGAGAGAUUUCAAUAAGGGAGUUAUUAAAGGAAUCCAGUUAAUAGGAGAGAGUAGCUUGGAGCACAAGGAGAGAGUCAAGCAGAUCUGAGAUCAGUUGUGGAAGCACAAUGCACAGAAUUUAGUGAUGGACUGGAUAUGGAGUACAAUAAAAGAAAACUCAAGAAUGGUUAGCAGUUUUCUAGCUGUAGGUGUGAAACUAUUUUUCUCAGAUGGAUAAAACCUGGGCAAACAAAGCAAUGGGAGAAGAGAAUCACAAUUUCCAUUCUGGGCGCUGAAGGUGUUCAAGGGACAGAUACGUAGAGAUAUGAACUGUGAGAUCCAAAAGUGUUCCCUCUAUCACGGCCGUGAGACAACAUGCCUUGAAUAACCUGCUGGAAGUUGGGACAGGAGGGACAGAGACAUGUUACCCAGUUGUCCUAAAUGAGACCAUUUUAAAUCAGCCAAAAGCUAACUGACCUCCAGAAAUGUAAAUGGGCCCAUCUGAGCCUAGCCUCAAUAAAUUUUACUGUUUUGAGUCA
This is a long non-coding RNA of Acinonyx jubatus (cheetah), 3207 nucleotides long. RefSeq lists it as uncharacterized. The transcript is spliced from 2 exons. Lineage: Eukaryota; Metazoa; Chordata; Mammalia; Carnivora; Felidae. The record is from RefSeq and is a predicted model, not a curated record.